Molecule: ribosomal RNA, 316 nt
Filed under: Salmonella enterica subsp. enterica serovar Panama
Lineage: Bacteria; Pseudomonadati; Pseudomonadota; Gammaproteobacteria; Enterobacterales; Enterobacteriaceae
Also listed under: 1 other name
Description: partial 23S ribosomal RNA
Rfam family: Bacterial large subunit ribosomal RNA
Source: RNAcentral
CUGGAGGUAUCAGAAGUGCGAAUGCUGACAUAAGUAACGAUAAAGCGGGUGAAAAGCCCGCUCGCCGGAAGACCAAGGGUUCCUGUCCAACGUUAAUCGGGGCAGGGUGAGUCGACCCCUAAGGCGAGGCCGAAAGGCGUAGUCGAUGGGAAACGGGUUAAUAUUCCCGUACUUGGUGUUACUGCGAAGGGGGGACGGAGAAGGCUAUGUUGGCCGGGCGACGGUUGUCCCGGUUUAAGCGUGUAGGUGUGUGUUCCAGGUAAAUCCGGUUCACUUUAACACUGAGGCGUGACGACGAGGCACUACGGUGCUGAAG